UACAGAGGUCUCGAGCGUUAAUCGGAAUUACUGGGCUUAACGGGUGCGUAGGCGGUCCAGCAAGUACUUUGUGAAAUCCCAUGGCUUAACCAUGGAAUUGCUCGGUAGACUGCGGGACUUGAGGUCGGUAGGGGUCGCUGGAACUCUAGGUGGAGCGGUGAAAUGCGUAGAUAUCUAGAGGAACGCCAAAGGUGAAGACAGGCGACUGGGCCGAUUCUGACGCUGAGGCACGAAAGCGUGGGUAGCGAACGGG
RNAcentral lists this ribosomal RNA (253 nucleotides) under uncultured bacterium. RNAcentral's name for it is "partial 16S ribosomal RNA". It matches the Rfam family "Bacterial small subunit ribosomal RNA", at positions 524 to 776 of the family's 1533-position model. The record is from RNAcentral.